CGUACACUCCUACGGGAGGCAGCAGUGGGGAAUAUUGCACAAUGGGCGCAAGCCUGAUGCAGCCAUGCCGCGUGUAUGAAGAAGGCCUUCGGGUUGUAAAGUACUUUCAGCGGGGAGGAAGGCGAUAAGGUUAAUAACCUUGUUGAUUGACGUUACCCGCAGAAGAAGCACCGGCUAACUCCGUGCCAGCAGCCGCGGUAAUACGGAGGGUGCAAGCGUUAAUCGGAAUUACUGGGCGUAAAGCGCACGCAGGCGGUCUGUCAAGUCGGAUGUGAAAUCCCCGGGCUCAACCUGGGAACUGCAUUCGAAACUGGCAGGCUAGAGUCUUGUAGAGGGGGGUAGAAUUCCAGGUGGAGCGGUGAAAUGCGUAGAGAUCUGGAGGAAUACCGGUGGCGAAGGCGGCCCCCUGGACAAAGACUGACGCUCAGGUGCGAAAGCGUGGGGAGCAAACAGGAUUAGAUACCCUAGUAGUCGC
This 475-nucleotide ribosomal RNA is filed under the name uncultured organism. RNAcentral describes it as "partial 16S ribosomal RNA". It matches the Rfam family "Bacterial small subunit ribosomal RNA", at positions 330 to 797 of the family's 1533-position model. The record is from RNAcentral.